Molecule: ribosomal RNA, 788 nt
Filed under: uncultured bacterium
Lineage: Bacteria
Description: bacterial SSU rRNA
Rfam family: Bacterial small subunit ribosomal RNA
Source: RNAcentral
AGAGUUUGAUCAUGGCUCAGGAUGAACGCUGGCGGCGUGCUUAACACAUGCAAGUCGAACGAAGCACAUUAGCGGAUCCCCUCGGGGUGAAACUGAUGUGACUGAGUGGCGGACGGGUGAGUAACGCGUGGGUAACCUGCCUUAUACAGGGGGAUAACAGUUGGAAACGACUGCUAAUACCGCAUAAGCGCACAGCUUCGCAUGGAGCCGUGUGAAAAGAUUUAUCGGUAUAAGAUGGACCCGCGUCUGAUUAGCUAGUUGGUGAGGUAAUGGCUCACCAAGGCGACGAUCAGUAGCCGGCUUGAGAGAGUGAACGGCCACAUUGGGACUGAGACACGGCCCAAACUCCUACGGGAGGCAGCAGUGGGGAAUAUUGCACAAUGGGGGAAACCCUGAUGCAGCGACGCCGCGUGAGUGAAGAAGUAUUUCGGUAUGUAAAGCUCUAUCAGCAGGGACGAUAAUGACGGUACCUGACUAAGAAGCCCCGGCUAACUACGUGCCAGCAGCCGCGGUAAUACGUAGGGGGCAAGCGUUAUCCGGAUUUACUGGGUGUAAAGGGAGCGUAGACGGUUAGGUAAGUCAGAUGUGAAAGCCCAGGGCUCAACCCUGGGACUGCAUUUGAAACUAUGUAACUGGAGUGCAGGAGAGGUAAGUGGAAUUCCUAGUGUAGCGGUGAAAUGCGUAGAUAUUAGGAGGAACACCAGUGGCGAAGGCGGCUUACUGGACUGUAACUGACGUUGAGGCUCGAAAGCGUGGGGAGCAAACAGGAUUAGAUACCCUAGUAGUCC